CCUACGGGAGGCAGCAGUGGGGAAUUUUGGACAAUGGGGGCAACCCUGAUCCAGCCAUGCCGCGUGAGUGAAGAAGGCCUUCGGGUUGUAAAGCUCUUUCGGCCGGAACGAAAUCGCGCACGUGAAUAACGUGCGUGGAUGACGGUACCGGAGUAAGAAGCACCGGCUAACUACGUGCCAGCAGCCGCGGUAAUACGUAGGGUGCGAGCGUUAAUCGGAAUUACUGGGCGUAAAGCGUGCGCAGGCGGUUCGCUAAGUCAGACGUGAAAGCCCCGGGCUUAACCUGGGAACGGCGUUUGAAACUGGCGGGCUCGAGUACGGCAGAGGGGGGUGGAAUUCCACGUGUAGCAGUGAAAUGCGUAGAUAUGUGGAGGAACACCGAUGGCGAAGGCAGCCCCCUGGGCCGAUACUGACGCUCAUGCACGAAAGCGUGGGGAGCAAACAGGAUUAGAUACCCUGGUAGUCCACGCCCUAAACUAUGUCAACUAGUUGUCGGGGAAGCAAUUCCUUGGUAACGCAGCUACGACGUGAGUAGACCGCCGUGGGAGGUACGGUCGCAGAUAAACUACAAGAAGUAGACGCGNGAGACGNGCCGACGACGACGACGAGGGAGUAGG
RNAcentral lists this ribosomal RNA (617 nucleotides) under uncultured bacterium. Its description in RNAcentral is "bacterial SSU rRNA". The stretch from base 1 to 541 matches the Rfam family "Bacterial small subunit ribosomal RNA", at positions 338 to 873 of the family's 1533-position model. The record is from RNAcentral.